AGAUACCGUUACUUAGAAGCAUGUAAGCGUUCCGUUAUUCGCCGCCUCGGAAUCGAGAGAGCUAAGAGCCCAUCAAAAUCCAUCACCACUCUUCUUCUAUGUUUGAUGAUUUUUUUUCUUAUAUAUUUGAAGACGCCUUCUCUUUCACGCCUCUUAUCCUUCUAUCUCAUCCUAUAAAUGUUAUCCAUCACCAUAAAGAUUCCUCGACAAU
RNAcentral lists this unclassified non-coding RNA (211 nucleotides) under Hevea brasiliensis (rubber tree). Lineage: Eukaryota; Viridiplantae; Streptophyta; Magnoliopsida; Malpighiales; Euphorbiaceae. The record is from RNAcentral.